GAAGACUCAGUGCGACACAGAACAAAGGAUGUUGAACUUGAGGUCAUGCCCUUCACUGCCUGGCUUGACCUUGAGAGGGAGUGGUGGCAUGCAGAAGAGACAGAACACAACUGCCGAAUUCACUGGCUCCUGUGACUUUGGGCAUCCUCUUAAGUUGUAUAAAUUCCAAGCCCUGCCAUGCCUGGCUUCUCUCUUUGAGAGCAACACACAUGUGGGAGACAAGAACAUCUGUAUCAUCCAGGAAGGCUUCUUGGUGGUGUCUCUUGUAAUGAAACAUAAGCAAGAGAAGGAUUUUAGCUCUCCAUAGGAGUGGAGCUGGUGAGUGGAGGUGGUACGGGCAAAGGGAACAGGUCACGUGAAGCACAGAGAGGACUAACAUGUCCCAGCUUCCUCAGGAAGAAAUGAUGCUGUUCUCUGAGGUUGUAUUUAGAAGCUCUUCCCUGCAACAGAGUAGAGAAUGGCUUGGAAUUAGGGUCAUCAAUCCCCUGGCUUAGCCACUAUUCUCCCAGCUUUAGUGUUGAAAGCUCUGGCCACUCAGAAACCUAUACCUCAGGAAAAGAAGGACAAUGGAUGGCCCUACCUGGGGAAAUCACCAGAGCCAAGACCUCAGAAGUCAUCUCAGCUACCUCUCCAGAGAUCCAGAUGCUUUCUGCAUCCAGUUGUGCACCACUAUGAUGUCGUAUUGUCAUUCCAGACUCGAUGUGUUUAAAACCUCAGGACCUUCGUAAAAGUGAGAACUGUGCGACUUGCUUUGUCUCCGUGUGCAUCCAUCCAAAUCUUGUGUGCUCAGUGAGGCCUUCAUCAAAACCCUUUGUAUAACAGGACCCCAGCCCUAAUGUGCCUUCUUGCUAAACUUGCUUUGGCUUUGUUCUGAGCACUUACCAUCACCCA
Molecule: long non-coding RNA, 891 nt
Organism: Peromyscus eremicus (cactus mouse)
Lineage: Eukaryota; Metazoa; Chordata; Mammalia; Rodentia; Cricetidae
Exons: 3
Source: RefSeq, a predicted model, not a curated record